Long non-coding RNA from Oreochromis aureus, 513 nucleotides. RefSeq lists it as uncharacterized. NCBI's taxonomy places the organism in Eukaryota, Metazoa, Chordata, Actinopteri, Cichliformes, Cichlidae. The transcript has 4 exons. The record is from RefSeq and is a predicted model, not a curated record.
GUGCUGCAUUUUGGACACAAACAGGUCCACAUUUUGACUUCUCCACCACUUAUGGAUCGUUGGCUACAACACGAGGUCAGACCAACCCUCUUCCACCUGCGGUUGACAUCUCAGAGUCUGUGACCGAUAUGACCUCCAGCAGCUUCGGACAUAGUUUCAGGUUUCAGAGUGGAGUACGGGCUCAUUGAGCAGGGACACAGCACUGGAUAGCCUGUGGUUCUUGAUGUGUCCUGCACGGCUACCUCUGUGAACAUUAAUGAGCUUCUCCCUGGUACACUGUUAAUGUCUGUGAUGUUACUGAGGGAGGCGAGGACAACCUCAUUCUUACUACCUGACAAACAACAGCACCUGAUGGUCUCAAAGAGCAUGAAGUGGAGGAAGUGGGAGAUCCAUCCAUCAUGAUCAGCUGGGAAAAACCACUGGCUGCCAUCACUGGUAAGCUAUGCUAACAUUUUCAGUCGCUGGCUACUGAACUCAUCGGCCUGCACACGGGUAACUGAGUGGUCGUCCUCU